CAGCCUCAAUCUACAUUAUUAUUGCUGGCUGCCGACACAUUCCCGAACCUGCCAGCCUUUCCCUGGAGGUUUGGUUAACUAGGCUCGGAGCCGAGGCUAGGAUAUUCGUUUAUUUAUCCCCUUAAUCCUUUUGAUCCACAAAGAUUAACGUGCUUAGCUUUUCCUCAUUGGUCGUCAAGGAUAAAUCUCUCUCUGCUUUCAUGCAGAGAAGAGUGAGAGAAAGAGACAGAAACAUUAGAAUAGCACAGAGGAAGAGUGAAGAGCGACAGUGACCGUGAGCUAUAUUGCAUGUGACCGUGAUACUGAUACAAUCUUCAUCACCAUUGGCUACAGCCGGCAAGAGCGUAUGUACUGCCUUCACCAUUACCAUUCAACAAAGUUAUCAGUUUUCCUAUGAAAUUCAAUCAUUUGCCACUGUAUUCUCUGUUCGCAGCUAUUUUCUGGGAUACCCAUUCGGCAUUUCUUUCUGAUUAGGAAGCUGAGCAAGCAUAUGAACUGAAGCUUUCAAAUUCAACAGCUACUGUCACUCUUAAGCAAGGAUGCUUUCGGCAAAAUCCGAGUCUGAUAUCACCAGCUUAGCUCCGUCGUCACCUUCAAGGUCCCCCAAGCGCCCUGUAUACUAUGUACAGAGCCCUUCAAGGGACUCUCACGAUGGCGACAAGUCCUCUUCUUUGCAGGCCACUCCAAUCUACAACAACAGCCCUAUGGAGUCCCCUUCUCACCCGUUUUUCCGGCGCCACUCGAGGAACUCCUCGGCCAGCCGGUUUUCCGGGAUUUUCCCGUCGUCCUCGGGGAGAAAAGGAGCCAGGAAGAGGAAUGACAAGGGGUGGCCCGAGUUUAAUGUGAUCGUGGAAGAAGGAGCUUACGAUGAACUACAUGACAAGGCGGUUUCAGGCUUUAAUUGCCUUGUUUGGUUUUGUGCUCUUGUUCACUACGUUUUGCUUGAUUAUAUGGGGAGCUAGCCGGCCAUACAAGGCGGACAUUACCAUAAAGGUAUGCCAAGUUCCCUUAUUUGCUGUCGGGUAUUUAACUCAAACUAGUCUUUAUCAUAUAAUUAGUAGUCUCAUUAGGAAAUUUGAAGCGUGAUAAUGAAGGAUAUAAACAUUGUGGCAAUUAUGUUCUUUUCA
This is a long non-coding RNA of Carya illinoinensis, 1127 nucleotides long. RefSeq lists it as uncharacterized. The record is from RefSeq and is a predicted model, not a curated record. The transcript has 2 exons. NCBI's taxonomy places the organism in Eukaryota, Viridiplantae, Streptophyta, Magnoliopsida, Fagales, Juglandaceae.